UUAGUUUUAGUAUAUCUAUGUAUUUAAAUUGAUUUUUUAUAUUUAGUUUGAUGGUUUGCUGCAUCACUUUGAUGUUUUGAUGUGUGGAAUGAAUGCUGGUGAACUCUUGAUAAAAGCAUUAGAUGAUGAAAAAUUUAUGGUAUGUUGAAUUUCAAGAAAUUUGCUAUUUUACAACAAAUGGAUUCAUGCUGGUAAUUGAUUGCAUUGUUGUGGUUGAUGGAAGGACCAAUUUUGUCAAGUCAUUUUGUUGUUUGUUUUCGAGUUUUUAUAUUUUCAAUAUAUCAUAUCCAUAAAUAAAAGAAGCUUCGAAUUUUGUCAACGUGCAUUUUUCAGCAUCAAUCCUGAAAAAGGGAGCAAAUCAAGGCGAACGAAGGAGACUUGUACUUCUGCAGUACUGCAGAAGUUUGCAAGAUUUAAUAUUUAAAUUUACUACGUAGUUAAACUAAAUAUAACUUUGAAAAAACAAUUUAUUUUGUAGAUAUUAGAAUCUGAUACUCUCAAAAAAUGUAAAAUUUGUUUUGAACUCAAAAAAAAAAACUAUGAAAUCUAAACUCGAUUUUAUUUGAUCUAUAAUUACUUAUUCGUUAUUUAGACAAAAUUUCCUGCGUUUUGGAGCAACUAAUGCAAUUA
This is a non-coding RNA of Hydra vulgaris (swiftwater hydra), 630 nucleotides long. Lineage: Eukaryota; Metazoa; Cnidaria; Hydrozoa; Anthoathecata; Hydridae. The record is from RefSeq and is a predicted model, not a curated record.